GGGGAAUAUUGCACAAUGGGGGAAACCCUGAUGCAGCGACGCCGCGUGGAGGAAGAAGGUCUUCGGAUUGUAAACUCCUGUUGUUGAGGAAGAUAAUGACGGUACUCAACAAGGAAGUGACGGCUAACUACGUGCCAGCAGCCGCGGUAAAACGUAGGUCACAAGCGUUGUCCGGAAUUACUGGGUGUAAAGGGAGCGCAGGCGGGAAGACAAGUUGGAAGUGAAAUCUAUGGGCUCAACCCAUAAACUGCUUUCAAAACUGUUUUUCUUGAGUAGUGCAGAGGUAGGCGGAAUUCCCGGUGUAGCGGUGGAAUGCGUAGAUAUCGGGAGGAACACCAGUGGCGAAGGCGGCCUACUGGGCACCAACUGACGCUGAGGCUCGAAAGUGUGGGUAGCAAGCAGGAUUAGAUACCCUGGUAGUCCACACCGUAAACGAUGAUUACUAGGUGUUGGAGGAUUGACCCCUUCAGUGCCGCAGUUAACACAAUAAGUAAUCCACCUGGGGAGUACGACCGCAAGGUUGAAACUCAAAGGAAUUGACGGGGGCCCGCACAAGCAGUGGAGUAUGUGGUUUAAUUCGACGCAACGCGAAGAACCUUACCAAGUCUUGACAUCCCUUGACAGGCAUAGAAAUAUGUUUUCUCUUCGGAGCAAGGAGACAGGUGGUGCAUGGUUGUCGUCAGCUCGUGUCGUGAGAUGUUGGGUUAAGUCCCGCAACGAGCGCAACCCUUAUGGUCAGUUACUACGCAAGAGGACUCUGGCCAGACUGCCGUUGACAAAACGGAGGAAGGUGGGGAUGACGUCAAAUCAUCAUGCCCUUUAUGACUUGGGCUACACACGUACUACAAUGGCGUUAAACAAAGAGAAGCAAGACCGCGAGGUGGAGCAAAACUCAGAAACAACGUCCCAGUUCGGACUGCAGGCUGCAACUCGCCUGCACGAAGUCGGAAUUGCUAGUAAUCGUGGAUCAGCAUGCCACGGUGAAUACGUUCCCG
RNAcentral lists this ribosomal RNA (995 nucleotides) under uncultured bacterium. Its description in RNAcentral is "bacterial SSU rRNA". It matches the Rfam family "Bacterial small subunit ribosomal RNA", at positions 356 to 1376 of the family's 1533-position model. RNAcentral also lists the same sequence under 1 other name. The record is from RNAcentral.